CCCUUAGAUGUUCUGGGCCGCACGCGCGCUACACUGAUGCAUUCAACGAGCCUAUCCUUGACCGACAGGUCCGGGUAAUCUUUGAAUCUGCAUCGUGACGGGGAUAGAUUAUUGCAAUUAUUAAUCUUCAACGAGGAAUGCCUAGUAGGCGCAAGUCAUCAGCUUGCGUCGAUUACGUCCCUGCCGUUUGUACACACCGCCCGUCGUUUCUUCCGACUGAUACUCAUUGUGAAUUGCGGGGAUAACGUUGUUGAAAACCGUUGUAAAUGCUGGGUAUUGGAGGAAGAAAAAGUCGUAACA
RNAcentral lists this ribosomal RNA (300 nucleotides) under uncultured eukaryote. Its description in RNAcentral is "partial 18S ribosomal RNA". It matches the Rfam family "Eukaryotic small subunit ribosomal RNA", at positions 1470 to 1796 of the family's 1831-position model. The record is from RNAcentral.